UACGGAGGGUGCAAGCGUUGUCCGGAAUCACUGGGCGUAAAGGGCGCGUAGGCGGCUCAUUAAGUCUGUGGUGAAAGUCCGGGGCUCAACCUCGGAUCGGCCGUGGCGACUCGUGGGCUGGAGCACUGUAGAGGCGGGUGGAAUUCCGGGUGUAGCGGUGGAAUGCGUAGAGAUCCGGAAGAACACCAGUGGCGAAGGCGGCCCGCUGGGCAGUGGCUGACGCUGAGGCGCGAAAGCGUGGGGAGCAAACAGG
Molecule: ribosomal RNA, 253 nt
Filed under: uncultured bacterium
Lineage: Bacteria
Description: partial 16S ribosomal RNA
Rfam family: Bacterial small subunit ribosomal RNA
Source: RNAcentral